RNAcentral lists this ribosomal RNA (449 nucleotides) under uncultured bacterium. RNAcentral describes it as "SSU rRNA". It matches the Rfam family "Bacterial small subunit ribosomal RNA", at positions 26 to 518 of the family's 1533-position model. The record is from RNAcentral.
AGAACGAACGCUGGCGGCAUGCCUAACACAUGCAAGUCGAACGCCUGUAGCAAUACAGGAGUGGCGCACGGGUGAGUAACGCGUGGGAACCUACCCUGGAGUGGGGGAUAACCGAGAGAAAUUUCGGCUAAUACCGCAUACGACCUGAGGGUGAAAGAUUUAUCGCUCUAGGAGGGGCCCGCGUCGGAUUAGCUAGUUGGUGGGGUAACGGCCUACCAAGGCAACGAUCCGUAGCUGGUCUGAGAGGAUGAUCAGCCACACUGGGACUGAGACACGGCCCAGACUCCUACGGGAGGCAGCAGUGGGGAAUAUUGGACAAUGGGGGCAACCCUGAUCCAGCAAUGCCGCGUGAGUGAUGAAGGCCCUCGGGUUGUAAACCACUGUCGGGAGGGACGAAGAUCUGACGGUACCUCCAAAGGAGCACCGGCUAACUCUGUGCCAGCAGCCGC